Molecule: ribosomal RNA, 497 nt
Filed under: uncultured bacterium
Lineage: Bacteria
Description: partial 16S ribosomal RNA
Rfam family: Bacterial small subunit ribosomal RNA
Source: RNAcentral
GAUGAACGCUGGCGGCGUGCCUAAUACAUGCAAGUAGAACGCUGAAGCUUGGUGCUUGCACCGAGCGGAUGAGUUGCGAACGGGUGAGUAACGCGUAGGUAACCUGCCUCUUAGCGGGGGAUAACUAUUGGAAACGAUAGCUAAUACCGCAUAAAAGUCGAUAUCGCAUGAUAUUGAUUUGAAAGGUGCAAAUGCAUCACUAAGAGAUGGACCUGCGUUGUAUUAGCUAGUUGGUGAGGUAACGGCUCACCAAGGCGACGAUACAUAGCCGACCUGAGAGGGUGGUCGGCCACACUGGGACUGAGACACGGCCCAGACUCCUACGGGAGGCAGCAGUAGGGAAUCUUCGGCAAUGGGGGCAACCCUGACCGAGCAACGCCGCGUGAGUGCAGAAGGUUUUCGGAUCGUAAAGCUCUGUUGUAAGAGAAGAACGAGUGUGAGAGUGGAAAGUUCACACUGUGACGGUAACUUACCAGAAAGGGACGGCUAACUACGUG